GCAAACGGGCGGAGACGAACAAGUGAAAGGUUUUUAGACGUCAUUUCACCCCGAUGACACCAUGGAUGAGGAGAUGCUGAUUCUAGAAGUCUAGAAGUAGAUUUCCUCCUCUGGAAGGACACAAUCUACUGCUUAUAUGUCUAUGUGUCUGUCUUUAGAGAGACGACUCGUGAUCGUGGGAUUGAACGUGAAUCUGCGGGUUCUUGUGAGUUCUCGUUAUUCCCGAUGUUUGUAAUCCACCACAAAAUUCUCCUCACAAAUGGUUCCGGUAGGAAUCGGCGGUCGGUGAAAAUCGCCGCCGUUCAGGAUGCGGUGAAAAGUGGGGGUUACCGGGAUAUAAAAAAAUGACCUCUGACUCCACAGCUGGUUCCGUUUCCAUGGUUACAGGUUUCUGCUGAGACGGUUUGUUAAAUCUGGUUUCUAAAAGGUCGUUAAUCUCUCACCUGCAUGAACUCGUCUCUUCUUCUUCUACUCAGGUUUUAUUGACUCCUAAUGUUAUUGAUCUUCUUUUUCAAUGAUGUGAUUUCUAUUGAAAUCUGACACCUGCCAAUAAGAGUGUUCUCCUCCUCCUCCUCCUCAGUGUACCGACAGUCUGUGGUGUAAUAAUGAUGAUUCCUAUCGUUUGUUCAGAGAAUAAAAACUGUGUCAUGAAAAACCCGAA
Molecule: non-coding RNA, 661 nt
Organism: Xyrichtys novacula (pearly razorfish)
Lineage: Eukaryota; Metazoa; Chordata; Actinopteri; Labriformes; Labridae
Source: the annotation of a GenBank genome assembly